RNAcentral lists this ribosomal RNA (106 nucleotides) under Escherichia coli. RNAcentral's name for it is "partial 23S ribosomal RNA". It matches the Rfam family "Bacterial large subunit ribosomal RNA", at positions 2820 to 2925 of the family's 2925-position model. Lineage: Bacteria; Pseudomonadati; Pseudomonadota; Gammaproteobacteria; Enterobacterales; Enterobacteriaceae. RNAcentral also lists the same sequence under 153 other names. The record is from RNAcentral.
GAGUCUCCUGAAGGAACGUUGAAGACGACGACGUUGAUAGGCCGGGUGUGUAAGCGCAGCGAUGCGUUGAGCUAACCGGUACUAAUGAACCGUGAGGCUUAACCUU